This 255-nucleotide ribosomal RNA is filed under the name uncultured bacterium. RNAcentral's name for it is "partial 16S ribosomal RNA". It matches the Rfam family "Bacterial small subunit ribosomal RNA", at positions 524 to 777 of the family's 1533-position model. The record is from RNAcentral.
UACGAAGGGGGCUAGCGUUGCUCGGAAUUACUGGGCGUAAAGGGCGCGUAGGCGGCCUUCUAAGUCGAACGUGAAAUCCCCGGGCUCAACCCGGGAACUGCGUCCGAUACUGGAAGGCUUGAAUCCGGGAGAGGGAUGCGGAAUUCCAGGUGUAGCGGUGAAAUGCGUAGAUAUCUGGAGGAACACCGGUGGCGAAGGCGGCAUCCUGGACCGGCAUUGACGCUGAGGAGCGAAAGCGUGGGGGAGCAAACAGGG